RNAcentral lists this transfer RNA (73 nucleotides) under Ixodes scapularis (black-legged tick). It matches the Rfam family "tRNA". From Rfam's summary of the family: Transfer RNA (tRNA) molecules are approximately 80 nucleotides in length. Their secondary structure includes four short double-helical elements and three loops (D, anti-codon, and T loops). The record is from Rfam by way of RNAcentral. Lineage: Eukaryota; Metazoa; Arthropoda; Arachnida; Ixodida; Ixodidae.
UCCCGGUUAGCUCAGUUGGUAGAGUGCUUUACUGGAAAUGGAGAGGUUCCUGGUUCGAUACCAGGACCAGGCG